GAUGAACGCUGGCGGCGUGCCUAAUACAUGCAAGUCGAGCGAACGGACGAGAAGCUUGCUUCUCUGAUGUUAGCGGCGGACGGGUGAGUAACACGUGGAUAACCUACCUAUAAGACUGGGAUAACUUCGGGAAACCGGAGCUAAUACCGGAUAAUAUUUUGAACCGCAUGGUUCAAAAGUGAAAGACGGUCUUGCUGUCACUUAUAGAUGGAUCCGCGCUUCAUUAGCGAGUUGGUAAGGUAACGGGUUACCAAGGCCACGAUGCAUAGCCGACCUGAGAGGGUGGUCGGCCACACUGGAACUGAGACACGCACCAGACUCCUACGGUAAGCAGCAGUAGGGAAUCUUCCGCAAUGGGCGAAAGCCUGACGGAGCAACGCCGCGUGAGUGAUGAAGGUCUUCGGAUCGUAAAACUCUGUUAUUAGGGAAGAACAUAUGUGUAAGUAACUGUGCACAUCUUGACGGUACCUAAUCAGAAAGCCACGGCUAACUACGUG
RNAcentral lists this ribosomal RNA (497 nucleotides) under uncultured bacterium. Its description in RNAcentral is "partial 16S ribosomal RNA". It matches the Rfam family "Bacterial small subunit ribosomal RNA", at positions 28 to 507 of the family's 1533-position model. The record is from RNAcentral.